CUAACCAUCAAAGUUUUAAGGUUCAUGGAUGCAAGCUUAUAUUGGAUCUAAAAGAAAUUUUAUCAUAUCACAUAAUGGAUGUUUUUUGCUGGUGUUAGAGUGAAAUACAAAUACGCACACGUCACGUCCAGGUGAUCAUGAAGAAUUACCAUCAGAGGAAAUCUCAGAUAUAUUCUCCUGAUUGUGCAAGUUAUGCAAAGAAAAGAGCAACAUUUUAAUACAGAUGCUUAGAAAGAAAACACAUUACUGCAGUGGAGUUUGAGGAACCACAAAUUAUUAUUGUGCAGAGAUGGUGCAGUCCCGCGCCUUGCGGUAUUUUUUAGGAGUACACCGAUUCACCCCAUUGAUUGCAAUCCAAGGAGAAUGUGGUUGGAUGCCAUGCUACUAUCGACAUCAGAUUAACGUCUUGCGAUUCUGGAAUCGUCUGGUGACACUAGAAAACGACCGUCUGACGAAGAAGAUUUUCCUUUGGGAUCGGAAUCAAAAUAACAGAACAAAUUGGGCCUCAAAAACUAAAGUAUUAUUUGAUUCUCUGAAUAUGCCGUAUACGUACAAAAACUUAUCAACAUGCAGCAUAGAACUUGCCGAAAGACUCCUCUGUCAGAAAAUUAAAAGACAAUGGAUUGAAGAUUUACAAAAAAUUUCCAAACUAAGAACUUACCGUCUUUUUAAAAAUCAAUAUGAACUGGAGUAGUACGUCAGUAUGGAUUUACCGAAACCUGUCCGAUCAGUUAUGGCAAUGUUUCGUUGCGGUGUAUUACCACUUCGAAUUGAAACUGGACGUUAUAAAUCUGAGACACCCCAAGACAGAAUUUGCCAGUUUUGCGAAAAUAACGAAAUUGAAAAUGAAAAACAUUUUUUACUACACUGUAAAUUAUAUGAAAUUAAAGGGAUAGACUUCUUUCGUAAAAUAGGUUUUAAAAAUUUAUCAAAUUUGUCUUUAGAUGAUACAUUCUUUUCAGAUAUUUUAUGUAAAUUUCCCAGACAUUCUGCAAACUUUAUAUUCGAUGCUUUUAAAACUCGUCAGAAUUUCACAAAAAGAACAUUCUAAUAUAAUUUAUCUUCAUUUAUGUGCCUGUAUAUAUGUAUAUUGUUAACAUAUAAACAGUGACAUAUAGGUCCUUUGGGCCGAGUGUAAAA
Molecule: long non-coding RNA, 1140 nt
Organism: Saccostrea echinata
Lineage: Eukaryota; Metazoa; Mollusca; Bivalvia; Ostreida; Ostreidae
Exons: 3
Source: RefSeq, a predicted model, not a curated record